GUAGUGAAUUUUGAGAACAUUCACAGGCGAACUGCUAUAUAACUCUAUAGCCUUCUAUGAAUCAUCAGCAAGCUGUUGCUCUGGAUCAAUCAGCUCUCUGUAAUUUGUCCUCUCCUUCUGCAAACGUGGAGUCAGCUGAUAGAGCAGUUUUUGAAAUUGUCAGAGGAACAUUCUCAAGUAUUCUGAAGAAUUUCUCAGGAUACAAUUUAAGCUGCUGGAUCAUUGUGUGAAGCCCCCCCAUCUCCUGUCACAAGGUCAGUAUUGGAUGUACCCAGACACUUCAAUUCUUCUUUUUCUUUUUGUUAAUUAAUAGGCUUACAACCAUGACCAGGUCAUCAUCACUUGAGGAUGUAGUCGCCAUUGUUUCUCCAUUUCCAUCUUCUCUCUCCCCGUAUUUUUAUGCGAAUAUGCUAAAUUUGUUCACAACGCACCAGGUGUGUAUAGGAUAAGGCGUAAGCUGAACAUUCUGCAUUUUUGCAUCGCUUUGCUGAUUUGCCGGUGUGAGCAGGCAGGAGCCUGGUGCUGACACUGUCUGAAUGGAUAGGGGAUAAUUCUACUUCUACAACACUUAAAGAUCAUAAAAGUGGCUGUACUUUUAUUGGAGUGAAGUACAGCAGUACUCUGUCCUCCUGCAGUGAAAAGGUGCAGAUCUUGGAUGACUGCAGGCUAAUGUGUUCAAUGCAGUGGUUCCUGAAGUGUUGGGAACCACCACGCAGUUUUUGGAGCAUUGUUAAAGGAUGCCUGUACAGAGCAAACCCCCAACUUCCCCCCAUCCAGAGAUAUUUUUCAUGGCACUAAAGAGCACAGUAAAGAGCACAAGUCUUUCAACAGAAAACGUAUCGGCAAGACUUUUAAAAAUGAUCUCUGCUAAGAUGUUGACGUCAGUUUAAUGUCUUGGCUCCUUUCUCCAGCAGCUAAAAUGGAGGUGUUGUCUUGUGCUUUAGUGUCAUGUGGAUGUUUCUCUCCAUGUCUGGAUGUCUGAGCAUCUCAAAGAUAAAUGAAGGAAGAAGCUGGAGUGUCAGUCUGAAGAAUCAUCUCCGUGUUCUUCAUUAAAACAGCCGGACUGCAGAUCCUCCCUCUGCAUUUUGCUGCCUGUCUCCUUCCAUCCACCUUCAACCACUCAUCUGUCACUCCAGCUAUUUUUCACCUGCCUCCCAGCAACAACACACCACCCCCCGUCUUUGAGGGAGUAAACCAAACCAGCGAGCUUAACGCAUUUCUAAUGAGCCACACUGUUCACAGAGUGCAGAUUAGUCAUCGUACGUCCGUGUCGAGGAUCACGUUCGCGCCGAGGCUCCAUGUAUCAUCUCCUCGCCGCCAUCAACGUCUCUGCAGAAAAAAAAAAACAAAUGGAAAAUCUGCUCCACGAAGAAUAAUUACUGAGUUCUGCUGAUGUCAUAAAGAAGUAGAAAUCAGUGUUUGUGCGUCUGUGGGUUCAUAAAGAAGCACUUCAGAGGAUUUAGGAGGAAUCUCUGGUUGUUUGAGGAGGCAGCUCUUCAUUACUGUUUGACAGAUGGCAUUGUCUUUAGAUAUGCUGUCACAUUCAUAUAAAUAAACUGGCUGGUGUCAUCUAUUCAGAUCAGAGAGAACGCAGAGAGAGCGCCAGGUGCUCACCGGGCCAACACGUCACCAACAGCUCUGUUUUUUCUCCGAGCGUGUGUUUCGUUAGCAUGUAAAGUAUGAUCUGCAGAAUCCGCGAGUGUGAGGAGGCUGGACCAAGAUUCAGUCCUGUUGCUGGACCAGGUCUUGUUGAAAUGUCCAGACCCAUCCCUGAUCUGUUCACAUUCAUAUUUGUCUACCACUGACAUGUUCUGGAGUAUCUUCUGAUUGUUUCCCUUCCUCUCAUAGCCAAAGACUCAUGUUAUUUUUUAGCAUUUUUGAUGGAUAUUAAUUUGAAAAGUUAAAAAUGAAUAAUUUUCAGCAUACAGGUUAUUUAUUUACACUUUGGCUGGUCUACUCAUUGUCCCCAGGGUCAGAACCAAGCAGGGUGAAGCUGCAUUCAGCUUCUAUGGCCCUCACCUGUGGAGCAAACUCCCUGAACACCUAAGGUGUUCACAAACUUUUAGUUUAGUCAAAUUAGGGCUGAAAACCUUACUGUUUACCGCAGCUUUCCUAUUUUUUCAAUUUAUUUUACUUUGAUAUUUGAUCAUCUCAACAGUUUUAAUAAUGUUAAAUUACAUUUUGAUAUUUUAUUGAUUUUAAGCUUACAAAUGCCUCCUCUGUUCCAUGUUUCUCACAGGGAAUCAAAACCAAGUUGGGAUCUAACUAUUGAAAUGGGAAGAACAGGAAAAAGGCUGGGCAGCUCUGGGUCAGGGACCCACUGUGCACUGAGUUCUUGGGGACCCGACAAGUCUUGAAGACUUGGACUGAGUGCUGGGGAGCUCAGGGUCUAAAAGCUUGCGACUUAUUUCAUUUUUCUGGGCAAAGACGGUUUUCAUAAAUAACUUGGUAAAACAUGGAACAGACAAUUUAUUUUUUAUCUGUUUAUCUUAUUUAUUUCAAAACUGUUUAUUUCUUACCAAUUUUAAAGCAUUUUAAUCACUCAUUUUUUCCUUUCCAAUAUAUAGUAUUUCCUUACAUCUGUAGAGCACGUUGAAUUGCCUUAUGUAUGAAUGGUGAUAUACAAAUAAACUUGCAUUGCCUUGCCUAGUUCUGAUUUGUAUCUGACAUCAGUAAAUACAGUUAUAUUCACAGAAUGAUGUCCUGACAGCCACACUAAUGCCAAUCUGUGACAUGUGGUGUUGUAAUGAAGCCAAUGAAGAAUUGAAUAAAUCAAUAAAUAAAAACUGCAGUUUUGCAGAGUCCACUA
This is a non-coding RNA of Xyrichtys novacula (pearly razorfish), 2809 nucleotides long. Lineage: Eukaryota; Metazoa; Chordata; Actinopteri; Labriformes; Labridae. The record is from the annotation of a GenBank genome assembly.